This is a non-coding RNA of Triticum aestivum (bread wheat), 102 nucleotides long. The record is from Rfam. Lineage: Eukaryota; Viridiplantae; Streptophyta; Magnoliopsida; Poales; Poaceae.
GUCCCUUCGGGGACAUCAGAUAAAAUUGGAACGAUACAAAGAAGAUUAGCAUGGCCCCUAUACAAGGAUGACACGCACUUCUUAUAUGCUUUUUAUUUUCUU